CCCUGGUCCUCGCCUUGCGUCCGGUCUGGAGCUGUCACCCCGGAGUACCUCUCGGAGUCGGCUGGAAGCAGCCAGCAGCGCAGCUCACUCCCGAGCGCCGGCGCCCUAGAGAGCCAGCAGUCUCCGCCGCAGCUCACAACAAAGGAAACAUGUGACCGUCCCGGCCAAAACACUGAGCGUCACCCAGCCCUGGCCAAUCCGGGGGGGCGGCCUCCGCGCGGGGCACGCUGGGAAUUAUAGUUCCAAACCUGCUGAUUGGAAAGGUUGUGUUGCACAGCCGGUUACGGAAAUGCAGCUUAUGCAAGGAGCCUACUGAGAAACAUGCGUAGUAGACUUAUUGUCCUCAACGCUUCUCCAACACCCUAGGCACAAACAGAACUAGGAAUUCCCAGAACCAAAGAGCUUGGAGUAAAGCCUAGAGAUCUCUUUAUUUGAUCAUUUCCUGUCCAAUUGGGAAAUCUGAGGACCUGAGGGGUGGAAAGGAGUAGUCACUAGAAGGCUCGAGAGAAACUUCCUUUCUUUGUAAAUCUCUUGUCACUUGUAUCAAAUCCUAGGUUACCUUUUUAUUUUAAACAUACAAGCAAGUUGAACUGUUGCAGAUCAAUAUUCCAAAGCAGAUUGAUUCCCCAAAGGGCAUUAUUUUGUCAUUUUGUUUUUGCAAAUAUUUUUUUCGAGGAUGAAUGUAUAACCUGGUUUUUCCACCAAUUAACUGGUUUUUAAUAUCAAAGUUAUAGCUCAUUUCUCUUCUACACUUCAUGAAUACAAUCAUGUGUCUAUUACAUGAGAGGAUGUGACCAGGAAAUAAUAUAGAAGGAAGAGUAAAAAAGGAAAGAAUGAAGAGUAAAAGAAUAUAAAAUAUCCAUUACAUAGAAUUUGAAAAACAAGCUUGGAGAAAUAAAGUGACUUAGGAACCUAGAAACCAAAGCUAGCCCACAGCGUCCCCAGACAGGGUCCUGUUUUCUAAAGAGAGGCUGCCCACUGGGUACAGGAAAGCAUUCUGCCUUUGCUCUUAGAUACCUGCAUUCCGAGGCCACAUAACUGAGCUCAAACGGUGCG
Molecule: long non-coding RNA, 1056 nt
Filed under: Heterocephalus glaber (naked mole-rat)
Lineage: Eukaryota; Metazoa; Chordata; Mammalia; Rodentia; Bathyergidae
Description: lncRNA (ENSHGLG00000044641.1)
Source: RNAcentral